Oncorhynchus tshawytscha (Chinook salmon) is the source of this 3057-nucleotide RNA transcript. It is a transcript of the gene named organic solute transporter subunit alpha, with no coding region annotated. Lineage: Eukaryota; Metazoa; Chordata; Actinopteri; Salmoniformes; Salmonidae. The record is from RefSeq and is a predicted model, not a curated record. The transcript is spliced from 9 exons.
AUGGAAGCCCUUAAUGACGCUGCCCAUGCAAAGACAGCCUUUUGGCUACCAAAUGCCUCUAUCAUUUUCUAUGGCUCUUCACUGCAGAGAGAGCGAAAGAGAGAGAGGAGUGGGUAGGCUUGUUAUGUACUAGUAGGCAAACAUUUGAGUAAUUCUCCGCGCGCUGGGCAUGAUUGCACAAGUGGUCCCGUGGAGGGGUCCCUAGCCCUACAACGAGUGGAGACAAGCCCGUGAGUUCCAAGAAAGCGACCGUGCGGUGCAGCCGGAGCAGAAGGCAGGUCCAACUAUUUCAACAAGUGUUUAGAAAUCCGUGAUUCCUCUCUGAUUUCGCCCGCAGUUGCGCAUUCCAGAGGGGAGCCGUAGCGGAUGCACCAAACUCUACGCAUAAUUUAUUUAUUCAUUCAUUUCCUAUCACCAGUGACUGCUGCCAACUGAAUGCGUCUGAGUGGUUGAGGGAUAGAUAGCUCUUUGUUUUCGUCCCCCGUCGCCCUCUCUACUUGCUCUAGAACUUCUAACCAAGCUGACCAAGGAUGGACGGGAACCGAACCAUCGACCCAAGCUGCAGUGAAAAACCUCCCGUGGCCAUCGACAUCCUUCUCCAGUUGGACAUCUUUGGUAUCAUCCUGUACUCAGUGCUGACCUUCAUGGCAGUGGUGUCCAUGCUGGUCUACAUAGAGGAGUGUUGGUACAUCUACCGGAAGGUUCCCUCCAACAAGAAGAGCGCCAUCAUCUGGGUCAAUGGGGCAGCGCCGGUGAUUGGCACCAUGUCCUGUCUGGGGAUGUGGAUUCCCCGAGCCACCAUGUUUACUGACAUGACCUCCGCCUGCUACUUUGCGAUCGUAGUGUUUAAGUUCCUGGUGUUAAUGAUCGAGGAGGUGGGGGGUGAUGAGGCGUUUCUACGGCGAGCAGGGAGGAACAAAUUGAAGAUCAGUACUGGUCCCUGUUGCUGCUGCUGCUGCCUCUGUCUACCCUAUGUCAACAUCACACGACGGAGUUUGUUCCUGCUGAAGUUGGGGUCGUUUCAGUUCGCCCUGAUGAAGGUUGUCUUCACCAUUCUGUCAGUCAUCCUCUGGACCAAUGGCAACUUCGACGUUACAGAUGGACCAUCUACACACACUCCCAACGCCGUAUGUGUUUCAGACCGCGGUAACAGGAGCGUCCAUCUGGAUAUCCCUGGGAGUGGGGGUCCUGACCAUCAUAGCACUGUGGCCUGUAGCCAUCAUGUUCAUGCAUCUCAGGACCACGCUGCGCAGCCUCAAGAUCAUUCCCAAAUACGCCAUGUACCAGCUGGUGCUAGUGCUGAGUCAGCUCCAGUCUGCCAUCAUCAACAUCCUUGCUAUGAUGGGAACUAUCGCCUGCACCCCGCCAUACUCCUCUCAGGCCAGGGGAUACUUGAUGAGUCAACAGUUGUUAAUCCUGGAGAUGUUCAUCAUCACCUUGGUAACCCGCCUGUUGUAUCGUCGCCAGUACGAGCCACUCCCUGACGACGAGCAUGAUGACGACCACACUAAGAUUGGUCUAUCAGUCGAGAGAACUCUGGCAUAGCUUUCGUAGCUGCAACUCCCCAACGGGCUCGGGAGAGGCGAAGGUCGAGUCAUGCGUCCUCAGAAACAUGGCCUGCCAAGCCGUGCUUCUUAACAUCUGCUUGCUUUUUCUGGAAGCCAGCUGCACCAAUGUGUCAGAAAACACUGUGCAACUGAUGACCGAGGUCAGCCUGCAGGCGCCCGGCCCGCCACAGGGGGUCGCUAGAGCGCGAUGAGCCAAGUAAAGCCCCACGUUGGCCAAACCCUCCCCUAACCUGGACGACGUUGGGCCAAUUGUGCGCCGCCCUAUGGGACUCCCGGUCAUACCGCAACACUGCGAUGCAGUGCCUUUGUCCACUGCGCCACUCGGGUAUAAGAACACUUUAAGUCAUUUCAAGAACAACGGGAAUAAACUAAAUAGAUUUAUUAUGUAUUAACUAUGUUAUUUAUGUUACUGAAAGAAUCCAGAACAAACGGAUGCAUUUUUAUUCUAUUAUCAGAAAGAGAGUGUCUGACGUGCCCUGGGGGGAGGAUCAUAAAGACCUGGUAGAAACUGCCAUGCAGUAUUGAACAUAGACUUGGCCAAACUCCUAAAUCCCCAAAACGGGAUAAUUAAGCAAUAUUGACACUUUUGGGAAUGGUCUGUGGACACAGUUAAGAUGAGUGUGUUUCUUUUGGUGAUCUCACGAAGGAUAAGAAACACAAAGGUAUCUCUUAAAGUGUACAUUUCUCAGCUGUCAGGUUUACAUCUAAAUAUUGUGAAACGUGAUUAAAUAUGAAACUAUUUGUGAAAAGAUGCAAUGUGUUGUUAACCUAAAUGAGAGUAUGAAUUUUCAUAUGAAAAUCAGCUAGUCAGUGGCCACACCCACAUGAGCAUCGACAUUCCGUCGGCAUCAUGGAACCGCCCCUUUCUACUGAAAUGUAUAAAAUCCUGAUGAAAUUCACAGCAGACCACGCAAACUAAGCUAAGGUUGCAAAUGGUUGAAUUUCGAAGACUAGAAAACAUGCAGCUGACGCAACAUGUUGAAAUAGUUGGCACUACAACUCUACCAAAGGACAAGACCAUACCACGCGGAGCAUUGGCUACACGUCUGGAAAUGGUUCAACUCUGAGACUAUCGAUCACUACAGAAUAAGAGCAAAUCUUAGACGUAGAAUUACUAGUCUGCAGCUAGAAAUGACGUAAAUCUAGAACAAGAAUACCAACAACCGUUGACGCAUCUAUGAGAACACUUCCGAAUGGUACUCUGAAGUAUCCAAUUUUACCACGUACAUCCAUGAAAGACAUUGUGACUUCUGGGAAAGUUAACCAGAGACCCUGAUGAACCCUAAAGGACUAUCAAGGAUUCCAACAGUGAAGAAGACAACGACAUAUGGGUGUAAAUAUAUAAAUUGCAACUAUUCUCCUUUUUGUCUACCAAGCCGCCAUAUUGGCUUAGUCCGCUAGGGACUUUUCUAUCAUUGUUAGUUAUCAAUAUCUGUUUGUUUAUGUAUUUCUGUGAUUUAUUUUGUUAGUAAAUAAAUAAUUAAGCCAA